This 748-nucleotide ribosomal RNA is filed under the name uncultured Lachnospiraceae bacterium. Its description in RNAcentral is "bacterial SSU rRNA". It matches the Rfam family "Bacterial small subunit ribosomal RNA", at positions 28 to 776 of the family's 1533-position model. The record is from RNAcentral. Lineage: Bacteria; Bacillati; Bacillota; Clostridia; Lachnospirales; Lachnospiraceae.
GAUGAACGCUGGCGGCGUGCUUAACACAUGCAAGUCGAACGAAGCACCUUGAUUUGAUUCUUCGGAUGAAGAUCUUGGUGACUGAGUGGCGGACGGGUGAGUAACGCGUGGGUAACCUGCCUCAUACAGGGGGAUAACAGUUAGAAAUGACUGCUAAUACCGCAUAAGACCACAGUACCGCAUGGUACAGGGGUAAAAACUCCGGUGGUAUGAGAUGGACCCGCGUCUGAUUAGGUAGUUGGUGGGGUAACGGCCUACCAAGCCGACGAUCAGUAGCCGACCUGAGAGGGUGACCGGCCACAUUGGGACUGAGACACGGCCCAAACUCCUACGGGAGGCAGCAGUGGGGAAUAUUGCACAAUGGGGGAAACCCUGAUGCAGCGACGCCGCGUGAGCGAUGAAGUAUUUCGGUAUGUAAAGCUCUAUCAGCAGGGAAGAAAAUGACGGUACCUGACUAAGAAGCACCGGCUAAAUACGUGCCAGCAGCCGCGGUAAUACGUAUGGUGCAAGCGUUAUCCGGAUUUACUGGGUGUAAAGGGAGCGUAGACGGAGUGGCAAGUCUGAUGUGAAAACCCGGGGCUCAACCCCGGGACUGCAUUGGAAACUGUCAAUCUAGAGUACCGGAGAGGUAAGCGGAAUUCCUAGUGUAGCGGUGAAAUGCGUAGAUAUUAGGAGGAACACCAGUGGCGAAGGCGGCUUACUGGACGGUAACUGACGUUGAGGCUCGAAAGCGUGGGGAGCAAACAGG